UAUAGAGAUCGAAAUCUAUGGCAUGGAGGAUACCAGAGGAAGAUGCCAUAGGCACAUGAAAAAAAACAAAAAUAAAAAACAAGAUGAUGGCAAAGCAGAUGACUCACAAGAUGAAGAGGACUCACAGCCUGGAGUGCCACCUAUAAUGCACCAGCUCAAUCGGAGGCAUACCAUUCCCUGCACCAGGCUUAUGCCACCAAUGCCUCCAGGACCAAUGAUGGGGCCAAUGGGACCUAUGGUCCUAUUGGACCCAUGGGCCUAUGGGACCAAUGGGUCCCAUGGGGCCACCAUGGGGAGCAAUGGGACCAAGGUGAGUAUUCUCCUGGCUUCUGAUUCCUUCAGUUGCACGUCAAAACCUGACGAUUUUGAGGAUUAGCUCUAAAUAGGUACAGGCACACAAAAUUGCAUUUUUUGUUGGUUUUUUUUUUUUUUUUUUUUUUUUUUUUGAAAUGGAUAAUUUUUCAUGUUUAUGUUCAAUUAUAGGAACAUAGAAGGGGAAAAACUAAUCUCUGUCUCAAUAUUUGAGAUACUGCUGUUUAAAGCUUGUGAUUUGCAUCACAACUAACUAUUUUAGACGUAUUGAACAAUUUUUAAAUACAGCAGCUUGGAACAUAGGAAGUCCUCAAGUACUUUAUAUAAGAAAUUACCAAGACUGAUUUUCUACUUGGGUGAAUCAAAAAUUAAUCUGCAAUAGGACAUAUCUGGAAAAAAAAAUUGAGGAAAAUGCAAUUUUUCUAUUCGUCAUUUUGUAAUCAUCAUAUUUUGAUUAUUCUGUUUCAAGGACUAUGAUACUAAAUGCACCAAAAACAUUUACUUCUAAGUAACCAUUAUAAAAAAAACUUGUAAGCUAUGCAUCUUGAAAUAGUACAAAAUCAUUAAUCUUUCAGGCAGAUAUAUGGAUAUAAGUGUAACAAACUUUAAACAGCUGUAAUUUCUAAUCUACAAGACAUAAUUGUUUCAAGUUUUUUACUUUGAUUUUUAAGGAAAAAAAUCACGUCUUUUAAUCUGUAUUAAAACUGUCAAUUUUCCAUAAACUACAUCUUUCGGGUACAAGUUCAAGUUAUUUUGCAUCAAGAUUUAUUACUCUUGGAACUUGAAUUUUAUUAGAAAACAGGCAUUUCCACAAAUCUUUACAGAUUUAACUAUGUGUAUAUACGUUGACUUAAAAAAGCGAUUAUUAUGUGAUGGCCUGCUUUCCACCAGUGGAAAGGCGUGUGUGCCAGUCCCUACUUCAAAAUUAGUAAAAUGUGCUUUUGUGCAAAGCUAAUAAUUAUAAAUUAUAUUGCAAUAAUCAGAAUUAAUUCCUUGAUAUACCUAGAAGGAAAUCUAACUUUGCAGGAUGCCUCCUAUUCCGCCACAACCUAUUAUGCCUCCAAACAUGGCACCAAACAUGAUGGGCACAGCAGGGCCUUCAAAGCCUCUUUUCCCUGCAGCUGUACAGGCAGGACCGGUGGUCUCUAGCACGGCUUCAUCAACCAUAGGACCAGUGAAGCCAACCUUUCCAGCAGCAGCAGCUGUGUCAUCCUCAGCCACCAUCACAGGGGCACCCACAAUUAAAAAACCGGAGUCUGCUUCAGGUUUGACCUCUAAACUCAUUCAUCCUGACGAGGAUAUCUCUUUGGUAAGUAAUCAUGGCCAAGUCUUCAUGUUGUUUAGCUCCGUUCACUUUCAAAUAAGGUUGGUUGACAAUUUCAACUCUUCCUAUUGUCUUUUAAAGAUGUAGAUUUCGUAAUUGCUUUUCAGCCUGAAAUGAUGCGUCAUUGAGAUCUUUGAGGGUGAUGCAAUAAAUAUUACCUUAUUUUUAAUUGGGUAAAGAAAACUUUUUUAAGUGGAAAUUGUACUGUUUUAGGGUAUGCUUCAGAAGAGGGUGGACAUAUUUUUGUAACCUUGAAAUGAUUUGUUUGAUGGGAGCAGCUAGCUCAGUGCCAGUAGCUAACUUUACAUUUGCAGGAAGAAAAGCGUGCUGCCAUGCCCAAGUAUCAUGCUAAACUGGCUAAUCUAAACUCUGUUAAUCCGCCCAACAUCCCACGUAUGACUCGUCCAAUGGGUCAGGGGCCUUUGAUGGGUGGGAUGCCACCUCGAAUGGGCAUGCGGCCAGCUGGACCACCUGGGCCAUUCAACAUGCCAUUCCGUCCAGGCAUGCAGGGUCCUCCAAUGCAUGGGAGCCCUUUUUGACUGGAGGAGCAUGUUAGUCCAAGAUUAUUAACCCCCAUCUGAUGACAUUGGGUGGUUGGGAUGUUAUUAAGAUUGUAAGAGACUGAGUACCAAGCUGAUAGAUUAUUUUGUGAGCUUUAACAAAAAUAAGAACAUAUAAAAGCAUUUAUGUACGCGUUGGAUGUGCUCAUUGGGUGAAUUUUUAGUUACACGGUCAUCUUUUUCAGUCUCAGGUGCUUUAAAUGAUGACAUUUCGUUUGGUGGACAUUUGUUACUUUUUUUUCAUCACUGGAGAUCUGUCAGUAACAGGACUUUUUUCUUUGUUUUUCCCUCUUCAAGCAAAUAUUGGCGCAGACUGCUUUGAAACCUGAGUCUCUGACAAAGGUACGGUGCGCUGUGUGUUAGCUGAAUGCAUGAUUGAAAGACUGUGUUACUCCGUGUUGGAUAACUAUUGGCGAGCAAGUGACUGAGCAAAGAGCUGUACAAAGUGUGAGUGGCUGCAGAAAGAGGUGGAUCUGUGUAAAGAUUGAUUAUUAUAAGUGCAUCACAGCAGAUUCACUUGCUGUUGGGUCAUCACGGCCCCCAACUGAGGUUGGCGAUGCCCAGAGAUGUUUUUGUUUUUAAUGGCAAAGUUAUAUGUUGUAGUUCAUCCUUAAAGUGCAUCACAGCAAGGUCUUGCUGUUGGGUCUUAUAUCCCCAACUGGUUUUGGCGAUGCACCUGCUUUAGCCUAACAUUGCAGUUGGUUCCUACUGUCUGGUCUGCAAACUCCAAGAAAAGGAAAGCACAUCACAGCAGGCAAACCUGCUGUUGGGUCAUAAGAUCCCCAACACUGUUGGCGAUGUGUUUUCCAAGUCUUUAAUAGAAUGUGUGCAUGUUAGGCUCUGUGAGUUGGAAUGGCCUUUUUAGUUAGUUUGCAUAAGUAAAUGUGUUUCUUCUAAAAUCUCAUUAGCUAGGUUCAUUGGUUGCUGUUUAUGUUUUUACUUUGGGAUGGGAAAAAUGGAUUUUCUUUCAAUAUCCAGGUUAAAAGUAUGAUUGCAAAAUUUUUUUAGUAAAUUGUUAAUCUACAAAACUUCCAACUACCAGAGGAGAGAAAUUGAAGAUUAUUAAGAUAUGCAGUAGCCAUCAUCAAGGCAAGUUUUUUUGUUUUGCUCGGAUCAGACUUUUCUAGCAUCUCAUAUUGCAAGUAUGCAUGACUAGGUACUUUUUUUGCUUUAGAGGAUAAUUGUUGGCACAAAGACUAUUGACCCUAGCCUCCAUGAAAAAGGCAAGUUGGUCACAACAAGCAGUCUUGUUGUUGGGCUCUUGGCCCCCAACAGAAGUUGGCGACACUUUUGACUCCUUGUUUGCACAUAGCUUCACAUGCAGGAUUGCUUUCAAUUUGACAUUUUUGCUCAGUGCAUGCUGUGUAACAUCUUUUUCCCAGGCACAUCGGUCAAGUUUGCUUCUUUGUUUUGCCCAUGUCUGUAUGCUUCCUUAAUAUGUGGAGUUUAGCAUGGCCAUUCUCAAGGGCCAUAUCUGUUGCAGAGAGAGCUUGCUGCUUGGAAAAUUGAGCGGUGAGUGCCUCUUUGUGGUACUCCUGUUGAAUGUCCCUCUCUGGUCUCCUCUUUCUCUCAUUUCUGUAGUUAUGUUUACAGCCAUUUUUGUGUGCUUAUAUGUAUACAAUGUCAUUCAAGUAUAUCUUCUCAGGAUGAAAUAUGUAGUGUUCUACUGCAGUAACAGUUCCUUUUGACCUGGUAAGUCAUUCCAAUCCAAGCAAAAAAAGCAUAAAAGUAAGGUGGUGAAUGUUCUUGUAGCACUGGUUUCAGAAUUCUUGAAGGUGUGUGUAUGUGUGGGUCUGGUAACAGUCGCUGGGUGUGCUGUACCAGAAUUUUAAUAGUCGAUCUUUGAACACCUGCAUUUUUAUGUACGUCCUAUGCGUGAAUAUGAGAAAGGGAAAUCACAGCUUCAUUUAUUGCAGAACUAAGAGUGCUGUACAUUUAAAUAACUGUUCCUAGGUCAGUGGUGCCAUGUACUUCAGAAUGUAGUUUUCAGGAGGUGAAUAGCUAUUUGACUGGUUCUCUAUGGCAGCAGUGUCUUCACUUUCAUGUCAUCAGUAUAGCAAGCUGAAGAGUUCCCUAUGCAGGAAAGUUCCUGUUGGUCUAAAGAUGUGCAGAAUAAAUUUAAAAGAUUA
RNA transcript from Pomacea canaliculata, 4325 nucleotides. It is a transcript of the gene named BUB3-interacting and GLEBS motif-containing protein ZNF207-like, with no coding region annotated. The record is from RefSeq and is a predicted model, not a curated record. The transcript has 4 exons. NCBI's taxonomy places the organism in Eukaryota, Metazoa, Mollusca, Gastropoda, Architaenioglossa, Ampullariidae.